Molecule: transfer RNA, 66 nt
Filed under: Marmota monax (woodchuck)
Lineage: Eukaryota; Metazoa; Chordata; Mammalia; Rodentia; Sciuridae
Description: tRNA.Ala
Source: RNAcentral
GUUGUGGCUCUGUGGUAGAGUGCUUGCCUAGCAUGUGUGAGGCCCUGGGUUCUAUUCUCAGCCACA